Molecule: ribosomal RNA, 104 nt
Filed under: uncultured bacterium
Lineage: Bacteria
Description: partial 16S ribosomal RNA
Source: RNAcentral
CGUUCCCGGACCUUGUACACACCGCCCGUCAAGCGAUGGAACGCUGGGAGGACCUGAAGACACGUUGCUGUAAGGCGCUGUUAGGUAAACCGGUGACUGGCGCU